CCUCUUUGUGUGGUCGACGUCUCUUAGAUUUGCUUCACUCUUUGCGUGCCUUAAUCUCUCUCUCUCUCUCUCUCUCUCCCUCUCUCUCUUUCAUUUCAUUUCCCCAUCCUUCCCAAUAAAUGGUCACUUUUCUCACCAAGAGCAACAAGCUACAGCCGCUGAGAACUGCGAAGAAGGCUCAUCCAUGCUUUGUCUUAUCAUCAUCUAAAUCAAUUUCACGGUUCGGUUCAUCGUUAAUUUAUUUGUUAUUUUAGUCUGUUAGUUCUAUUUUCCUUUCAAUUUUCGUUUUUAGUUUAUACAAACUGAGUACGAUUUGGGUCUCCUCCAUUGAAGUGGCUUAUGAGCUAGAAGACGAGGAGAUGCUUAUGCCCCAUUCUGAUGUCGCAGUACUACUUCUACUACAGGAGAAACUUAUUGUGAAGAGCUAUGAGAUCUCUUGUGGUUUCAUAAGCUCUUAGAGAACUUGCAAGCAGCAUAAAAAACAGGCGUCAUUGCUCUCCAUCAAUUCUCUUUGGACAAAGUCAGAGACAAGUAUGCAGUGAGCUCACUAACUGUAGCUGGGGGUAUUGCUGUUUGGGGUUCUGUUGGCAUAAUCUAUGGAAGCUUUGCUACAGAAAAUUUAAGGCACAUACAAUGAACAAAAUCAACAAGCAGACAAGUUAGCAGGAAAUUUGGGGAUGUAUGCCCAAAAGAGUUGAACAGAGAUUCUGCAAAAAAAAAAAAAAAAAAAAGAAAUUGCAUUUGAAAUGGAAAAUCCUACUACUCUUUUGUACUCAUAUUCCUCUAACAUUAAGUAAACUCUUGUAAUUUACCCUCUCUCCCUCUAAUCGAAAGGCACACUCUUGUACCUAUAUUCUUCUAAAACCCUAUGUCUUAAUUUGACCAUCAUCACAUAAUACCAAUAAUAUUUCAUGCUA
Long non-coding RNA from Chenopodium quinoa (quinoa), 917 nucleotides. RefSeq lists it as uncharacterized. Lineage: Eukaryota; Viridiplantae; Streptophyta; Magnoliopsida; Caryophyllales; Amaranthaceae. The record is from RefSeq and is a predicted model, not a curated record. The transcript has 4 exons.